AUGCGUCUGUGUGCUCCCUGGGUGUAUGUGUGUAGCUCGGUUUUAUGGACACCCUCGCGUGGCCGGUACCCCAGUGUCCCAACGUGUCCCGACAUCCCCUCCCGUGGGUAUGUGCCUGGAAACCCUUUGCACACCCUUCCCUGUGUUUGUGGUCCGCGUGCCUUUGUGCGCCUGUGCUCCCCGUGCGCCUUUGAGGUCUACGUGCGUCUGGGUCCCUGCGUGUGCCCGCUCGCGCCCCCGUGUCCCCCGCGCGGGCCCCGGGAGCUGCGUCCUCACGCCCCGUGGGCAUCCCCGCGUGCGUCCCGGGGCGCCUGGCGGGAGGCCCCGGGGCACACGCGGGCGCCGCCGGACCCACCGCCCGGCACGGCGCGGGGAGGAGGGAGGGGGCGGCGGCGGCGGGGAGCGCGGGCACGUCACCGAGACAGACAGGCGGGCGGGCGGGCGGGAGGCGGCGGCCGCGGGUUCGAGCCGGCGCCGGAGCCCCGCGGCCCCCUCCCCCGGCCCGCGGCCUGGGGGGCCCCCGCCCAGCCCCGAAGCCGCCGAAAUGCAAUUUCCCGUGCAGGCGCCUCGACUCAGGGGGCUUUUCCGGGCUGGUUUGGAAAGAAGAGGGGCAACGCGGCGGCGGCCCGAAACGAGGUCAAGGUCAGAGCCCUCAAGGAAGCAAGACAGAGAGGAGGCGCAGGAGGAAAAGUGUAUCUGGAGGAGUCCCCCACCAAUGUGGCCAGUACCUCAUGCCUGAUGACCCCUCAUUCUAGCGCCACAGUCAUCACAAGCAAAGCUUUUGAGGAACCUGGUGUCCCUGGGGGCAAUAACCGCCUGGCAGCCAGACGUCUUGGGGCCACGAGGAAUCCCUCCUCUGCCUCUCUCUAGCGUGCCCUUUGGCCUGGACUCCCAAACUGACAAAUAGGAGUAAUCUGCACCUUCUAGGGCCCUUUUGAAGAGGACUUGAGCAAAUGUGUCAAGAAGCAAGCCCAGCGCCCAGUACUGGUCUACAUCUGUGUAGCAAAAGCUACAUAAAUAUCUGCAGUUAUUAUUAUUAUUUAUAUUUAUCUUGUGCUUUUUCCAGGUCCUGGAGCAGACAGGUCCUGUUUGCUGACUUACUGAGUCAAUAGGGCCCUCCCUCCCUCCCUUCUCUCUCCUCCCCCAGGAUAUCCGUGUUUUCUGCCCCCUAUCCCCACCCCACCCCCAGUCCUGGCCCCUGGAGAAGUUGCCAAGGGUUUGGGGGAACAUUCA
RNAcentral lists this long non-coding RNA (1233 nucleotides) under Canis lupus familiaris (dog). RNAcentral's name for it is "lncRNA (ENSCAFG00845026801.1)". Lineage: Eukaryota; Metazoa; Chordata; Mammalia; Carnivora; Canidae. The record is from RNAcentral.